AGAAUAGAGACAGUUGCAGUAUCCCUACUGGAAUGUACCCACAGCUUCUGGUGUACACAACUCUGCUGCUGCCGUUGCCUAGAGCAGCUGCCAGCCUGGCAGACAAGGUGUUAACAGCUCCUCUCCUGAAAGAGCUGGGACUCCUGCGAUUCAGCACUGCUUUGCUGACAGGAUGAACAGCCCCUGCAGGGGUGAGUGCAGGCGCUUGGAACAGAGGACCUGGUCUAUCAGACCAGCCAUGCAGCGGACUGCCCUGACAUGACACGAGGGGUGUGGGCCAUUCUGCCACUUCUGCUGGAAGAAAACACAUGACCUCUGCUCCAAGGAGCAGGCAGACCAUUUAAGGUAAAACACAUCUCUGCCAGGUGUUUUGCUGAUACCAAGUAAAUUCCUGCAAACUCAGCCCACAGCUAGCUGAGCAGUGGGUCAUCCCAGAUCAUUACUGGAACAGUGCAGAGAUUGCAUUAGGUCAUCAAGGCAUAUCUGAAGAUGCACAUCAUCUCCCUUAUAACAACUUCUAGUUUCUGAGAAGGCUAAUCAAGAGGUGAAUCCAAUAGCUAAGCACUUACAGACUGGCAUCCUGCUCACCAGAAGGGUUCUCAGCAAAGUUGCUUUAUUUUUCAUAGCAAUGAAGAUCACCACUGUUGUCAUGCAGUUGGGACAGGCCUCAUUUUCAUAUAUAGAAAAAACACAGCAAGGUUUUAAACACACUGCAUGAGAGGAGACCAAGCAAUAUCACCAUGGCAGCUUGACCAUUUCUAUUAUACAGUGGGUUUGUAAAUAUGUUUAGAAAGACUGUCCAGUUAGCUCAAAUUCAUUCCCCUCACACACACACAUUGCAAAUCUGGUGUUGCUCUAUUAUGCUAAUGCCAUGCAUUUAGAAAAAUACCAAAACUAUUCAUUAGU
Molecule: long non-coding RNA, 906 nt
Organism: Aquila chrysaetos chrysaetos
Lineage: Eukaryota; Metazoa; Chordata; Aves; Accipitriformes; Accipitridae
Exons: 4
Source: RefSeq, a predicted model, not a curated record